This 546-nucleotide ribosomal RNA is filed under the name uncultured Methanosarcinales archaeon. Its description in RNAcentral is "bacterial SSU rRNA". It matches the Rfam family "Archaeal small subunit ribosomal RNA", at positions 339 to 885 of the family's 1478-position model. The record is from RNAcentral. Lineage: Archaea; Methanobacteriati; Methanobacteriota; Methanomicrobia; Methanosarcinales.
GCGCGAAUCCUUUACAAUGCAGGCAACUGCGAUAAGGGGAUACCGAGUGCCAGUGAAUUUCAUUGGCUGUCUUAAUGUCUAAAACGCAUUUAAUAGCAAGGGCUGGGCAAGACCGGUGCCAGCCGCCGCGGUAAUACCGGCAGCCCGAGUGGUAACCACUAUUAUUGGGUCUAAAGGGUCCGUAGCCGGGCCAAUCAGUCUUCUGGGAAAUCUGGCAGCUCAACUGUCAGACGUCUAGGGGAUACUGUUGGCCUUGGGACCGGGAGAGGUAAGAGGUACUUUAGGGGUAGGAGUGAAAUCUUGUAAUCCUUAAGGGACCACCAAUGGCGAAGGCAUCUUACCAGAACGGGUCCGACGGUGAGGGACGAAAGCUAGGGGCGCAAACCGGAUUAGAUACCCGGGUAGUCCUAGCCGUAAACGAUGUUCGCUAUGUGUCAGGGACGGCGUGACCGUUCCUGGUGCCGAAGGGAAGCUGUGAAGCGAACCACCUGGGAAGUACGGCCGCAAGGCUGAAACUUAAAGGAAUUGGCGGGGGAGCACUACAAC